GUUAUAGCCCACGCCUUACGAGUUGUCCCGGGACCUCCUGACCCCUAUCGCCUAAAAUUUUUCCGGACUAUCAAAUACGACCUAAGGAACCAUAGUCACCGCCCAGCCAUGAUCGUUACUCAUUUUUGCAUUUUUCGGCCAAAGAACUAGAAUUCCGCCCGAUUCCCAUAUUUUCGUGUGCUACCCGCGCCUUCCCAGUGGUUAGGGCCGCCCGGACCUAGAUAGUUUAAAAUUAUUCCGGGCCAUCGAAUAUGACCUAAGGAACCAUAGUCACUGCUCCGCCAUGACCGUUCCUCGUUCUUUUGCGUUUUACGGCCAAAAAACUAGAAUUUCGCUAGAUUCCCAUAUUUUCAUGUCCUAUAGCCCACGCAUUCUGAGUGGGCCUGGGCCCCCCGGAACCGAAAAGCCUAUAAUUUCUACGGGUUAUC
RNAcentral lists this long non-coding RNA (428 nucleotides) under Nicotiana tabacum (common tobacco). Its description in RNAcentral is "long non-coding RNA (NTAB_LNC018682)". The record is from RNAcentral. Lineage: Eukaryota; Viridiplantae; Streptophyta; Magnoliopsida; Solanales; Solanaceae.